UUUUUUUCCCUUUUUUUUGAAUACAAUUAAUAUAAAACAACUGAAAUAUUAUUAUUACAGUUAAAAGACUUAAAUAAACUCUUUUUGUUCAUAACUAGAUUUUCUUUACCGUCCUCAAAUACACAUACUUGUCGUCCUCAAAUAGUAUCGUAAUAUUUUUUUGUUUCUUUACCGUCCUUGCAGUUUUCUUCCAUUCUACUAAUUCCAGAAAGCUUCCCAAUGACAUCUGAGAUAAUAUAAUAAUAAAAUAUAAGAAUCAAUAUAAUAGAUACACAUAUUAAAAAUUAAAUUUUAAAAAUUAAAUAUUUGAUGCAUGUAAUAAUUCUUACCUACUAAAUAUUUGUCAUCAGCGACAUUACCAAGUAUUUGACCGUUAGAUUAUUGAUUUCGGAAGCAAUAAUUUUAAAUAAUCAAUUAUCUGGCAAUACGAAAUUUGAGUUUGACCCUUUUUUCGCAGCUAACCAUUUCAAAUAAUUCGCAACAGAUCAUUGCUUAUUUCGCAACCAAUAAUUUUAAAUAAUUAAUUAUCUGUCAAUACGAAAUUUGAGUUUGCAACAGAUUAUUUCCACUGCGAAAAAAUAAUUCGCAAUAGAUUAUUGCGUAUUUCGCAACCAAUAAUUUUAAAUAAUUAAUUAAACCAAUAAUUUUAAAUAAUUCGUAACCAAAUAUCCAUAUUUGAGCUUGACACGUGACAUGCAAGCAUAUAGAAAGCCACGUGUCAGCUUCUCACAUAGGAUUCAUUAAGGGUUCUACUUUUAUAUAUAGUAAUAGAAGAGAUUUUAAAAAUAUUAUAAUUUUAUAAACAAUUUUUUAAAUAUUAGGCCUAAUUAUGCCACACAGGUAAGACAAAUAAUUUACCGUUUUAUUCAAAAUAUUAAAAGUAUGAGCAAUACAAGUCAUACACUCUAACCCAUCUAAGUUGGGAAUUUUUUUCACUAGUUAUAUCAAUGUGACUAGUAAAAUUUAUUUCACCGUAAAAAUAGGAUGUAUAUCAUACAGUACUCCGUUUGAAGAUUUUCAUAAAAACGAUGAAUCUUUUAUCGUUUUUAGAAAUAGUG
Molecule: long non-coding RNA, 1058 nt
Filed under: Ananas comosus (pineapple)
Lineage: Eukaryota; Viridiplantae; Streptophyta; Magnoliopsida; Poales; Bromeliaceae
Description: long non-coding RNA (ACOM_LNC029090)
Source: RNAcentral